UCGAACGGCAGCACGGAGCUUGCUCUGGUGGCGAGUGGCGAACGGGUGAGUAAUAUAUCGGAACGUACCCUGGAGUGGGGGAUAACGUAGCGAAAGUUACGCUAAUACCGCAUACGAUCUAAGGAUGAAAGUGGGGGAUCGCAAGACCUCAUGCUCGUGGAGCGGCCGAUAUCUGAUUAGCUAGUUGGUAGGGUAAAAGCCUACCAAGGCAUCGAUCAGUAGCUGGUCUGAGAGGACGACCAGCCACACUGGAACUGAGACACGGUCCAGGCUCCUACGGGAGGCAGCAGUGGGGAAUUUUGGACAAUGGGCGAAAGCCUGAUCCAGCAAUGCCGCGUGAGUGAAGAAGGUCUUCGGAUUGUAAAGCACUUUAAGUUGGGAGGAAGGGCAGUAAAUUAAUACUUUGCUGUUUUGACGUUACCGACAGAAUAAGCACCGGCUAACUCUGUGCCAGCAGCCGCGGUAAU
Molecule: ribosomal RNA, 467 nt
Filed under: uncultured bacterium
Lineage: Bacteria
Description: bacterial SSU rRNA
Rfam family: Bacterial small subunit ribosomal RNA
Source: RNAcentral